This is a long non-coding RNA of Ictalurus punctatus (channel catfish), 754 nucleotides long. RefSeq lists it as uncharacterized. The transcript is spliced from 2 exons. NCBI's taxonomy places the organism in Eukaryota, Metazoa, Chordata, Actinopteri, Siluriformes, Ictaluridae. The record is from RefSeq and is a predicted model, not a curated record.
ACAGACCGCACUAUAUUUAUCUUGAUCAAGGAAGACGCUUAAAUGGUGAGUUUGAAAAAAGCGGUUCGUAAUGUCCCCGCAAUGCUAAUAAUAUACGCUGCUGAGCCGCGUGAAACAGCGCUGGUGUGAAGUGCAUGUAUGGAUAACAGUGUGCUCGCAUAGGGCUCAGCUCAUUCCUCCCAUCCGAAACUCACUAGUGCUUUACUACAAGUUAUCUUCAAGACUGUAUUAAGCAGAGGGCAGCACUAUUCCACCUGACCAAUAUGGUAAGCCAUGGAUACUAACAUUGCAGGAAAUGUUAGUACUUUAUACAUCUCUUGCAGUGCAUCCCAAAAACAAAAAACAUCAACUACAACAACAACAACAACAAAAUCUGUGCCUUCCCUUCCCUCUGUGGCUAAAAUACUAUAUCUGGCUUUUUCUUUAAGAGCAGCACUACCCUGAAAGCUUUUUAAGAAAUGGCCCAGAUCACCAAGUGGAACUUUUUUUUUGAAGUAAGUUGAUUUGUCUUGCAUUUAUACAGAAGCAGGAAACAAACACUAUGUUCUUAAAGAAGGUACACCAAUUACAUUUAUUCCUUGUUUUUCACUCUUCCCCAGAAGUGCAUGAGACAUUUGCACAAGCCAACAUGUCCAGAUAAUGAUAACAAUACACUUUAAGGACAAUUUCAAGUAGAAGUCAGUUCAUAAAUAAGAUAUAAAAAAUAUGAUCUUAGGUCAGAUGAGCAGUAGCAUGAGUUCUGGUUCCGUGAACA